This 254-nucleotide ribosomal RNA is filed under the name uncultured bacterium. Its description in RNAcentral is "partial 16S ribosomal RNA". It matches the Rfam family "Bacterial small subunit ribosomal RNA", at positions 524 to 776 of the family's 1533-position model. The record is from RNAcentral.
UACGUAGGGGGCGAGCGUUGUCCGGAUUUAUUGGGCGUAAAGAGCGCGUAGGCGGCUCGGUAAGUGAGGUGUGAAAACUCUAGGCUCAACCUAGAGACGCCACCUGAUACUGCCGUGGCUAGAGUCCGGUAGGGGAGCAUGGAAUUCCUGGUGUAGCGGUGAAAUGCGCAGAUAUCAGGAGGAACACCAGUGGCGAAGGCGGUGCUCUGGGCCGGAACUGACGCUGAGGAGCGAAAGCGUGGGGAGCAAACAGG